This 447-nucleotide ribosomal RNA is filed under the name uncultured Bifidobacterium sp. RNAcentral's name for it is "bacterial SSU rRNA". It matches the Rfam family "Bacterial small subunit ribosomal RNA", at positions 173 to 638 of the family's 1533-position model. The record is from RNAcentral. Lineage: Bacteria; Bacillati; Actinomycetota; Actinomycetes; Bifidobacteriales; Bifidobacteriaceae.
CUCCAGUUGAUCGCAUGGUCUUCUGGGAAAGCUUUCGCGGUAUGGGAUGGGGUCGCGUCCUAUCAGCUUGACGGCGGGGUAACGGCCCACCGUGGCUUCGACGGGUAGCCGGCCUGAGAGGGCGACCGGCCACAUUGGGACUGAGAUACGGCCCAGACUCCUACGGGAAGCAGCAGUGGGGAAUAUUGCACAAUGGGCGCAAGCCUGAUGCAGCGACGCCGCGUGAGGGAUGGAGGCCUUCGGGUUGUAAACCUCUUUUAUCGGGGAGCAAGCGAGAGUGAGUUUACCCGUUGAAUAAGCACCGGCUAACUACGUGCCAGCAGCCGCGGUAAUACGUAGGGUGCAAGCGUUAUCCGGAAUUAUUGGGCGUAAAGGGCUCGUAGGCGGUUCGUCGCGUCCGGUGUGAAAGUCCAUCGCUUAACGGUGGAUCCGCGCCGGGUACGGGCG